RNAcentral lists this ribosomal RNA (253 nucleotides) under uncultured bacterium. Its description in RNAcentral is "partial 16S ribosomal RNA". It matches the Rfam family "Bacterial small subunit ribosomal RNA", at positions 524 to 776 of the family's 1533-position model. The record is from RNAcentral.
UACGUAGGGUGCGAGCGUUAAUCGGAAUUACUGGGCGUAAAGCGUGCGCAGGCGGCUGCGCAAGUCGAGUGUGAAAGCCCCGGGCUUAACUUGGGAAUUGCGCUCGAAACUACGUGGCUGGAGUGUGGCAGAGGAAGGUGGAAUUCCAGGUGUAGCGGUGAAAUGCGUAGAGAUCUGGAGGAACACCGAUGGCGAAGGCAGCCUUCUGGGCCAACACUGACGCUCAUGCACGAAAGCGUGGGGAGCAAACAGG